UGUGAAGGAAAGGUGAAAAGGACCCCGGGAGGGGAGUGAAAGAGAACCUGAAACCUUGUGCCUACAAGCACAUAGAGCCCGUCAAAGGGUGAUAUGGUACUUUUUGUAGAACGGUCCGGCGAGCGAUUGUACGUUGCGAGCUUAAGGUCUUAAGGACUGGAGGCGUAGCGAGAGCGAGUCUAAACAGGGCGUUUAGUAGCGUGCAAUGGGCCCGAAACCGGGUGACCUACCCAUGAUCAGGCUGAAGUGAAAGUAAAAUUUCAUGGAGGGCCGAACCGACCUCCGUUGAAAAGGCGGCGGAUGAAUUGUGGGUAGCGGAGAAAUUCCAAUCGAACUCGGAGAUAGCUGGUUCUCCCCGAAAUAGCUUUAGGGCUAGCCUCAUGUUAGAUAUCCGGAGGUAAAGCACUGAAUGGCCUAGCGUCCGAGAGGAUAGCGAAGCCUAUCAAACUAAGAAUGCCGGAAUAUUGAUGCAUGGGAGUCAGACAGUGUGAGAUAAAUCUCAUUGUCAAAAGGGAAACAGCCCAGAUCUACAGCUAAGGUCCCAAAUUGUAUCUAAGUGGAAAACGAUGUGGAAAUACGCAGACAACCAGGAUGUUGGCUCAGAAGCAGCCACUCAUUUAAAGAGUGCGUAAUAGCUCACUGGUCGAGAGACGCUGCGCCGAAAAUGUCCGGGGCUCAAGCACGGAACCGAAGCUAUGGCAUGAUAGCAAUAUCAUGGGUAGGGGAGCGUUCUUAUAAGGAAGAAGCAUGACCGGAAGGACAUGUGGACAAAUAAGAAGUGAGAAUGCCGGUAUGAGUAUCGAAAAGAAAGGUGAGAAUCCUUUCCACCGAAAGCCCGAGGGUUCCUGAGCAACGAUCGUCGACUCAGGGUAAGUCGGGACCUAAGCCGAGGCGAGAAGCGUAGGCGAUGGACAACAGGUUGAAAUUCCUGUACCGGAUCAAGUCGAUCGAGCGAAGGAGCGACGCAGGAGGGCACAUGAUCGCGCGGCUGGAAGAGCGCGUCCAAGUGCGUAUGUUGCUGCAGAGGAAAACCCCUGCAGCUAAAAGCAGAGACAUGAAGGGGAGUUAAAGGAAACUUUGACGAACUCAUGGAUCCCACACUGCCAAGAAAAACUUCUAGCGAGACAAGAUCCGCCCGUACCGUAAACCGACACAGGUAGGCGGGGAGAGAAUCCUAAGGUGCGCGGGAAAACCCUCGUUAAGGAACUCGGCAAAUUGCAUCCGUAACCUAGGGAGAAGGAUGGCCCCCGGUCAGUGAAGAGCAGAAACGCUCAGAGCUAAAAGGGGCGGCAGAAAAGAGGCCCAAGCAACUGUUUACCAAAAACACAGGUGCCUGCGAAAGCGAAAGCUGAAGUAUAGGUGCUGACGCCUGCCCGGUGCCGGAAGGUUAAGGAGAGAAGUUAGCGAAAGCGAAGCAUCGAACUGAAGCCCCGGUGAACGGCGGCCGUAACUAUAACGGUCCUAAGGUAGCGAAAUUCCUUGUCGGGUAAG
RNAcentral lists this ribosomal RNA (1491 nucleotides) under human gut metagenome. RNAcentral's name for it is "bacterial LSU rRNA". It matches the Rfam family "Bacterial large subunit ribosomal RNA", at positions 502 to 1980 of the family's 2925-position model. The record is from RNAcentral.